RNAcentral lists this ribosomal RNA (551 nucleotides) under uncultured archaeon. Its description in RNAcentral is "bacterial SSU rRNA". It matches the Rfam family "Archaeal small subunit ribosomal RNA", at positions 876 to 1429 of the family's 1478-position model. The record is from RNAcentral.
GCACUACAACGGGUGGAGCCUGCGGUUUAAUUGGAUUCAACGCCGGAAAACUCACCGGGUGCGACAGCAAUAUGUAGGUCAGGCUGAAGGUCUUACCUGAAUCGCUGAGAGGAGGUACAUGGCCGUCGUCAGUUCGUACUGUGAAGCAUCCUGUUAAGUCAGGCAACGAGCGAGACCCGCGCCCACAGUUGCCAGCAUGUUCUCCGGAACGAUGGGUACACUGUGAGGACCGCCGCUGCUAAAGCGGAGGAAGGAACGGGCUACGGUAGGUCAGUAUGCCCCGAAUCUCCCGGGCUACACGCGGGCUACAAUGGUUGGGACAAUGGGCACCUACCCUGAAAAGGGACGGUAAUCUCCUAAACCCAACCGUAGUUCGGAUUGAGGGCUGUAACUCGCCCUCAUGAAGCUGGAAUCCGUAGUAAUCGCGUUUCAACAUAGCGCGGUGAAUACGUCCCUGCUCCUUGCACACACCGCCCGUCAAACCAUGCGAGUGAGGUCUGGGUGAGGGCAUGUUUAUGACAUGUUCGAACCUGGGCUUCGCAAGUGGGGUU